UUGAACGCUGGCGGCAUGCUUUACACAUGCAAGUCGAACGGUAACAGGGAGCUUGCUCCGCUGACGAGUGGCGAACGGGUGAGUAAUGCAUCGGAACGUACCCAGUCGUGGGGGAUAACUACGCGAAAGCGUGGCUAAUACCGCAUACGCCCUGAGGGGGAAAGCGGGGGACCUUCGGGCCUCGCGCGAUUGGAGCGGCUGAUGUCGGAUUAGCUGGUUGGUGGGGUAAAGGCCUACCAAGGCGACGAUCCGUAGCUGGUCUGAGAGGAUGAUCAGCCACACUGGGACUGAGACACGGCCCAGACUCCUACGGGAGGCAGCAGUGGGGAAUUUUGGACAAUGGGCGCAAGCCUGAUCCAGCCAUGCCGCGUGAGUGAAGAAGGCCUUCGGGUUGUAAAGCUCUUUCAGACGGAAAGAAAUCGGGCGGGUGAAUAGCCUGCCUGGAUGACGGUACUGUCAGAAGAAGCACCGGCUAACUACGU
Molecule: ribosomal RNA, 482 nt
Filed under: uncultured bacterium
Lineage: Bacteria
Description: bacterial SSU rRNA
Rfam family: Bacterial small subunit ribosomal RNA
Source: RNAcentral